This 213-nucleotide long non-coding RNA is filed under the name Mytilus galloprovincialis (Mediterranean mussel). Lineage: Eukaryota; Metazoa; Mollusca; Bivalvia; Mytilida; Mytilidae. The record is from RNAcentral.
CCCCGAUUUGGACCAACUUGAAAACUGGGCCAAUAAUAAAAAAUCUAAGUACAUUUUUAGAUUCAGCAUAUCAAAGAACCCCAAGGAUUCAAUUUUUGUUAAAAUCAAACUAAGUUUAAUUUUGGACCCUUUGGACCUUAAUGUAGACCAAUUUGAAAACGGGACCAAAAAUUAAGAAUCUACAUACACAGUUAGAUUCGGCAUAUCAAAGAA